This is a long non-coding RNA of Erinaceus europaeus (western European hedgehog), 1545 nucleotides long. RefSeq lists it as uncharacterized. The transcript has 3 exons. Lineage: Eukaryota; Metazoa; Chordata; Mammalia; Eulipotyphla; Erinaceidae. The record is from RefSeq and is a predicted model, not a curated record.
UGGGGCUGGUCAGGGCCAUGGGCUCAGGCAUCAAAUUCUCACCCGCUGGGUUCCCUGGGGCUGGUCAGGGCCAUGGGCACAGGCAUCAAAUUCUCACCCGCUGGGUUCCCUGGGGCUGGGUAAAGGCCUACAGGGCACAGAAGUCACUCUGUCACCCGUUAGGCUCUCCCCAACUGGGCUGCCUCUGCAGCCCCUCUGUUGCCUCCAGACAUUAUGGGGCACCCAGUGACUUCUGCCCUUCACACACUGGUGGGGUCUUAGUGCUGCAGGGAGCUUCAUUUUUAAGGUUGUAUGCUACUUGAGGAACUCAUGCUGGGUACAGCAAGCUGGGCAUGAAUUUGUGUACAUGCAGAAGCCCAUCUUUCCAUCAGAGACUCUGAGUGGGGGCAGCGGACAGCACAGGGAGGUGACAGGGCGACUCAGCUGAAGGGCGGGGCAGGGGAGUAGGAACUGAUGACGCUUUCAGUUGAAAAGUCAAGCCGAGGUUCCUGUGUUUUUAUUUUUUAUUUUGUCUCCAGGGUUAUUGCUGGGGCUCGGUGCCUGCACUAGGAAUCCACUGCUCCUGGAGGCUAUUUUUCCCUUAUGUUGCCCUUGUUGUUUAUCGUUGUCUUAUUAUUGUUGUUGUUGUUGGUUUCGUUGUUGCUGCAUAGUACAGAGAGAAAUCGAAAGAGGAGGGGAAGACAGGGGAGAGAAAGACACACCUGCAGGCCUGCUUCACUGCCUGUGAAGUGACCCCCCUGCAGGUGGGGAGUGGGGUUUCAAAUUGGGAUCCUUGUUCCUAUCCUUGCACUUUGCACAGCGUGUGCUUAACCUGUGAUACAGACCAACCCCAGGUUUCUGUUUGAUGGCUUAGCGGGUUUCUGUUAGUGCAGGUGGGCCCAGGGAUGGGGGUCUUCUGUUAGUGCAGAUGGGCCUGGGGCUAAGGAGGCUUCUGUUAGUGCAGAUGGGCCUGGAGCUAAGGGGGAAUCUGUUAGUGCAGGUGGGCCCAGGGAUAGGGGGCUUCUGUUAGUGCAGGUGAGCCCAGGGAUAGGGGGCUUCUGUUAGUGCAGGUGGGCCCAGGGAUAGGGGGCUUCUGUUAAUGCAGGUGGGCCCAGGGAUAGGGGGCUUCUGUUAGUGCAGGUGGACCCAGGGAUAGGGGGCUUCUGUUAGUGCAGGUGGGCCCAGGGAUAGGGGGCUUCUCUUAGUGCAGGUGGGCUCAGAGAUAGGGGGCUUCUGUUAGUGCAGGUGGGCCCAGGGAUAGGGGGCUUCUGUUAGUGCAGCUGGGCCUGGGGCUAAGGGGGCUUCUCUUAGUGCAGAUGGGCCUGGGGCUAAGGGGGCUUCUGUUAGUGCAGGUGGGCCCAGGGAUAGGGAACUUCUGUUAGUACUUGCCACGGGAGCUGGACGGACAGUCAGCCUUCUGUGUCUGUAUAAAUCACUGCCUAGGGGCCGGGUGGUGGCGCAGCUGGUUGAGCACAUGUAUUACAAUGCGCAAGGACCUGGGUUCAAGCCCCGGGCCCCCACCUGCAGGGGGAAAGCUUUAUGAGUGGUGAAGCAGGGCUGCAGGUG